Mesocricetus auratus (golden hamster) is the source of this 138-nucleotide small nucleolar RNA. Its record names the gene SNORA70. It matches the Rfam family "Small nucleolar RNA SNORA70". Rfam says of the family: snoRNA U70 seems to be exclusive to mammals and is a member of the H/ACA class of snoRNA which contain H (ANANNA) and ACA box motifs. H/ACA box snoRNAs are involved in the conversion of uridines to pseudouridines (5-ribosyluracil) a constituent of structural RNAs (transfer, ribosomal, small nuclear, and small nucleolar). Lineage: Eukaryota; Metazoa; Chordata; Mammalia; Rodentia; Cricetidae. The record is from Ensembl.
GAGCAGCAUAAUGUCAGUGACUUAACAUUUCUUUCCCCAUGGGAGCCUGGUGUGCAAUGGUUGCAAACAGCAGCCUCCUUGGUAGUGUAUGCAUCCUGUUGCCCAUAUGGAUUGCUCUAAGGGACCUUGGAGACAAUU